RNAcentral lists this ribosomal RNA (395 nucleotides) under uncultured bacterium. RNAcentral describes it as "partial 16S ribosomal RNA". It matches the Rfam family "Bacterial small subunit ribosomal RNA", at positions 523 to 918 of the family's 1533-position model. The record is from RNAcentral.
AUACGUAGGGUGCGAGCGUUAAUCGGAAUUACUGGGCGUAAAGCGUGCGCAGGCGGUUUUGUAAGACAGAGGUGAAAUCCCCGGGCUCAACCUGGGAACUGCCAUUGUGACUGCAAGGCUGGAGUGCGGCAGAGGGGGAUGGAAUUCCGCGUGUAGCAGUGGGAUGCGUAGAUAUGCGGAGGAACACCGAUGGCGAAGGCAAUCCCCUGGGCCUGCACUGACGCUCAUGCACGAAAGCGUGGGGAGCAAACAGGAUUAGAUACCCUGGUAGUCCACGCCCUAAACGAUGUCAACUGGUUGUUGGGAAUUUAUUUUCUCAGUAACGAAGCUAACGCGUGAAGUUGACCGCCUGGGGAGUACGGCCGCAAGGUUAAAACUCAAAUGAAUUGACGGGG